Molecule: ribosomal RNA, 427 nt
Filed under: uncultured bacterium
Lineage: Bacteria
Description: bacterial SSU rRNA
Rfam family: Bacterial small subunit ribosomal RNA
Source: RNAcentral
UGGGGAAUUUUGGACAAUGGGCGCAAGCCUGAUCCAGCAAUGCCGCGUGCAGGAUGAAGGCCUUCGGGUUGUAAACUGCUUUUGUACGGAGCGAAAAGGUCUGCCCUAAUACGGUGGGCUCAUGACGGUACCGUAAGAAUAAGCAUCGGCUAACUACGUGCCAGCAGCCGCGGUAAUACGUAGGGUGCAAGCGUUAAUCGGAAUUACUGGGCGUAAAGCGUGCGCAGGCGGUUUUGUAAGUCUGAUGUGAAAUCCCCGGGCUCAACCUGGGACCUGCAUUUGUAACUGCAUAGCUGGGGUGAGGCAGAGGGGGAUGGAAUUCCGAGUGUAGCAGUGAAAUGCGUAGAUAUGCGGAGGAACACCGAUGGCGAAGGCAAUCCCCUGGGCCUGCACUGACGCUCAUGAACGAAGGCGUGGGGAGCAAACA